This 225-nucleotide long non-coding RNA is filed under the name Zostera marina. RNAcentral describes it as "long non-coding RNA (ZMAR_LNC002644)". The record is from RNAcentral. Lineage: Eukaryota; Viridiplantae; Streptophyta; Magnoliopsida; Alismatales; Zosteraceae.
AACGCCCCUCAACAAGGACUAGGGUUCCGUCGUUUUACGCCGGACCCCCGGAAGGCAUCCACGGUGCGGAGCAAGUGUCUACGUCAAAGUCCUCAAGUCAACAUAUGGGAGUAGCCGAUUCCAGUGGGGACUAGCCCAUUCCCCCUGAGUAGGCGAUUCCCACACCUGAGUAGGCGAUUCCCACAAGGAGUAGGCGAUUCCCAGCCGUUACUUGAGCUGGCCCAC